This is a non-coding RNA of Pelobates cultripes (western spadefoot toad), 389 nucleotides long. NCBI's taxonomy places the organism in Eukaryota, Metazoa, Chordata, Amphibia, Anura, Pelobatidae. The record is from the annotation of a GenBank genome assembly.
CAAUCACUUAAUGGACGAUCUGACUGCCAGGGUGCGGGGUUCCAAGAGGAAAUUUGAUAAAGUAUGGGGUUUGUGGGGGGAAUGCCCACUCGCAGAUUAGGAUUGGAGAGGGACCGGGGGCAGGCAUGUACCUGAACUGUGGCCGCUCGUGCCCCCCCCCGUACUUCCCCUCAUCCUCAUCCCCUCCCGGACGCGACCCACUCUCUUCCUUUCUUUUUCUAACCUUUCUUCUCCCGGUCAUACAUAGCUCACCCACGAGCCAAACUUUCGCGAAAUCCGCACACAUAGACAGUUAACAGGCAAACAAUGAAUAAAAUUAGAGAAUGAAAUACUUAGAUAAGGCAUCCACCUAUAAGGAUUCACACAGCCUUCAGCCUAUAUUAGUGGUC